ACCAGUUAGAAAUAACGAUCAAUCAAUUUUAAACAAAAACUAUAUAGGAAAAUCGUUUGAAGGAUAUGUACAAUAUGUUAAAACAGAUGUUAUAUAUAUUAAAAUAGUUGAUAUAAAUGGGUUUGGUGUACUUUAUAAAAACAAAGCUAACCUAGGUAAUGAUAUAAAAGAUAUAAAUGAUUAUUUUAAAGUAAACCAAAAAGUAUGGGUAAAAAUAUUAGGUAUAAAUUUAAGAAAAAAAUAUUACUAUGUUGGUAAUAUUAUUAAAUAUAAUAAAGAUAUAGUACUAAAAAAUGGUGAACAUUCAAAAGGAUUAGUAACAAAAGUAUGUGAUUCUUAUUGUUUUAUUAAAAUUUUAAAAAACGGUAGUGUAGGAUAUUUACAUAGAUCUAUGUUACAAUUAUUUGACUGUAUUAGUGGUUCAAAUACUGUUAGAUCGUUUGUGUAUGAUUCAAAAAAUGAAGGUACUACUUAUACAAUGGUCUAUGGUGGUGGUGGUGGUGCUACUGCUGCUGCUGCUACUCCUGUUUCUUCUUCUGACGAUGGUAGUGAUAACAGGAUACAAACCAAACGCGAUAAAGAUACAUUUUAUAAGAAUACAACAAACAUUGUAAAAAAUAAUAAUCAAACAAAAGAUAUUAUUUUUACGAAAAUUUUUAAAAUUUGGGACAUUAUAGAUGUACAAGUAGUUAAAAAGUCAGACAAUCAAUUUAAGUCACAUUACAUUUUAACUAUACCAUACGAUACCGAAAGUUAUAAACAGAUACAAACAUACUUGGAAAAUAUUUUGCCAAGAGAAGAUACAGUUUCUACAGAUGUAAUAGGUAUAACUAUGAGUAAUAAAAAAAGAAAUGAAAAUAAAAAUGGAAGAGAUGAUAAAACGGAAGAAAGUAUGACGAAACGCUAUGAAGAGUAUAUAAGUGACGGUAACCAGAGCACAGAACAUGUAAAAAAUGGGACCACUACAAGAAGUGGGACCACUACAAGAAAUAGAGUCGUUAAAAGUAACUAUCGCACACGAAGUCCUUAUAUAAAUAAUAACCGAACAAGUAACGAACGACAAAAGAAAACCAAGCGAAACAAGCAACUAGUGCCACACAUAUAUAACCUUUCCAACAGUAUGACAUUAUAUAAUUUGUCGAAAGUAAUUAAAAUUGCUUUUUCUUCAUUAAAAAAAUAUUUUAUUAUUAACGAAAAUAAAGAAUUUGGUUUAAAUCAUGUAUUACAGCAUGAUCAAAUACAAAAUGUAUGUAACCAUUUCGAUAUUCAUUAUAAUUUGAUAAAUUCGAAAGAGGAAUAUGACGAUUCUAAUGGUAAUACUACUGUUGAUUGCAAUGAUAAUAAUUUUGUUGGAUUUGUUGAUAAAAAUUCCAUAUUCGAUGUAGAGAGUGUGAAAGAUGUGAAGGAAAAAAAAAAACAAGAACAAAAUGUGUCUACUACUAAAAACGCUAACUUUGUGUCAAUAGAUGGUAAUUCCGAUUAUAUGGUUGUAACAUCUGGAGCGCAUGUUACGCUUGGUAUUAAUAAUGACAGUAGCGAAAGU
Molecule: long non-coding RNA, 1543 nt
Filed under: Piliocolobus tephrosceles (Ugandan red Colobus)
Lineage: Eukaryota; Metazoa; Chordata; Mammalia; Primates; Cercopithecidae
Description: lncRNA (ENSPTEG00000007594.1)
Source: RNAcentral